GACGAACGCUGGCGGCGUGCUUAACACAUGCAAGUCGAACGGAAAGGCCCUUCGGGGUCCUCGAGUGGCGAACGGGUGAGUAACACGUGGGUGAUCUGCCCUGCACUUUGGGAUAAGCCUGGGAAACUGGGUCUAAUACCGAAUAGGACCACGCGCUUCAUGGUGUGUGGUGGAAAGCUUUUGCGGUGUGGGAUGGGCCCGCGGCCUAUCAGCUUGUUGGUGGGGUAAUGGCCUACCAAGGCGACGACGGGUAGCCGGCCUGAGAGGGUGACCGGCCACACUGGGACUGAGAUACGGCCCAGACUCCUACGGGAGGCAGCAGUGGGGAAUAUUGCACAAUGGGCGCAAGCCUGAUGCAGCGACGCCGCGUGAGGGAUGACGGCCUUCGGGUUGUAAACCUCUUUCACCAGGGACGAAGCGUAAGUGACGGUACCUGGAGAAGAAGCACCGGCCAACUACGUG
This 462-nucleotide ribosomal RNA is filed under the name uncultured bacterium. RNAcentral describes it as "partial 16S ribosomal RNA". It matches the Rfam family "Bacterial small subunit ribosomal RNA", at positions 28 to 507 of the family's 1533-position model. The record is from RNAcentral.